GGCGUCUGGAAAGUUUUUCGGUCAAGGAUGGACUCGCGGCCUAUCAGCUAGUUGGUGAGGUAACGGCUCACCAAGGCGUCGACGGGUAGCCGGCCUGAGAGGGCGACCGGCCACACUGGGACUGAGACACGGCCCAGACUCCUACGGGAGGCAGCAGUGGGGAAUAUUGCACAAUGGGCGAAAGCCUGAUGCAGCGACGCCGCGUGAGGGAUGAAGGCCUUCGGGUUGUAAACCUCUUUCAGUAGGGAAGAAGCGACUGGGUUCUCUCAGACGUGACGGUACCUGCAGAAGAAGCGCCGGCUAACUACGUGCCAGCAGCCGCGGUAAUACGUAGGGCGCAAGCGUUGUCCGGAAUUAUUGGGCGUAAAGAGCUCGUAGGCGGUUUGUCGCGUCUGGUGUGAAAACUCAAGGCUCAACCUUGAGCUUGCAUCGGGUACGGGCAGACUAGAGUGUGGUAGGGGUGACUGGAAUUCCUGGUGUAGCGGUGGAAUGCGCAGAUAUCAGGAGGAACACCGAUGGCGAAGGCAGGUCACUGGGCCACUACUGACGCUGAGGAGCGAAAGCGUGGGGAGCAAACAGGAUUAAGC
This 587-nucleotide ribosomal RNA is filed under the name uncultured bacterium. Its description in RNAcentral is "bacterial SSU rRNA". It matches the Rfam family "Bacterial small subunit ribosomal RNA", at positions 198 to 783 of the family's 1533-position model. The record is from RNAcentral.